AUUAACUAAAUCACAAGUCAUCACACACCUUCUCUUACAUCAACACUUGCUAUUUUCAUCAAGCAAAAGCUCCCAAAGAGCUCAGCAAAAUCGCAGCCCCCUUUGGCUCAGCAAACACCAAGCAAGAACAUCAAAGACUUAAGUCGGAAUCAUCCUGGCUUAAAUCCAAACUUCACCAAACUUCAUAUCCCACAUGUUUUCGACUCCCUAUAUCCAUUUCCGGGCUUAGAUUUUAAGUUUGAAGCCUCCAACCCAUCGGAACAGCCACCACAGAACCGAACCCAGAAAACGGUCUUCUCGGGUAAAAAAUGGCAACCCGAGUUUCAAGGCCUUCCGGGUCGGUUUGAGUCGCCAAAACCCAUCAAACACCUCCCCACACAACCCUAGGGUGUCAAGGAGUCAAGAAAUCCAAGAACAACCCGCGGUUUUAGCCCAGCACGAAGAAACAGCCCGACUGCCCAGUCGGGUCGAAAUUUCUGACUGUCUGUGCGGUUUUCUUGCAGAUUGGGUCGAUACGAGACCCUUUUAGCCAAACGACCACCACCAUCACCUCCGGAGGUGAGUUAGGAGUCGGGAGCCGCUGACCUUGCAUCAAAAUUCCAUCGGGAUCCACCGUGGAGAAUUCCGACCAGAAAACUGCCCAAUCGGGCCAGUUUCCAGGACGCACUCUGUUUUUCGUGAUAUUUGCAGGACUAUACGGGUCGACUUGAUAACUCUGGGUACAAACGACCACCACAGUCACCUAGAGGGGUCCCGUGGCUACCCUGGGCCGCUGACCUUGCCUCAAAAUUCCAUCGGGAGCCUCCGUGGCGACGUUCGACCCGACUUGUGCCAAUCGGGUCUGUUCUGGCCCAGUUGAGUCUGUUUUCUGCUUACUGACCUGACUUUGCUUUUGAUUUUCGGAAAAUCCACGGGUGCUCUCUUCCUGAAACCACGGCAGGGACGUUAAGCAUCCUCUUAGAUUUCCCGAACAGUUGAGAACUCUCCGAAAAGCCACCCGAGCCGCCCGAACCGGUCUGUUUUCUCCCGGGUGCCCAGUCGGGUCAGAUUACUCCAGACAGGCCUAUUGUUGCCAACCGGGUCUGUUCAACGAAAAACAGCCCAAACCCGACCCACCAACGGUCCAACCCGACUUCUAACAGUCCCAUCCCGCAUCCCGGGACUAGGUACGUACUUUGGGUGUUGUACUUCUUAUCGGUCGGUUAUCGGUGUUAGCCAGUUAAUCCUGGGGAGGGCUGGUCCAGCGAGCCUCGGUGCUCGUAUCUCUGGACACCCGCACGGGCAUCAAACAGUGAGCCCGUGACAAGUGGUAUCAGAGCUAGUCCCGGUGGGAGCAAGCCAUGAUGACUAAGGUCGACAAGGAUCAAGUGACAAGCGUCGUGACGCUUCGGCUCAGGCAGGGGAGUGCUUUCCUACGAGAGGAAAGCGUGGAGACUCCAAGCUUGGGUGUCGAGAGUCGCCGGUCCUCGUUCAGCAAGUAAGCUGGUCAUGGUGUCUCACUGGGACGAUCCAAUGGUUAACUGGCUAGGAAAGACACAUAAUACAACAACCAACGAAGGCGUAAAUAGUCAUGGAGCCUGAUGAGUCCUUAUGUCCUUGUCCGUGGGGGAGUUUGUGUAGUGGGAGCCGAACUGCUCAGGAAUUGACACCAUUAUGACGUGGUGUGGGAUGAAGGCAGUGUUGUUGCUGAGGUACUGACACCACGAGGGUUGUGGUGUGGGGUGAAGGCGACGUAAGGCGUUGGGACUGCUACACGGACAAGCCCGCAACGAGGACGUUUGCGGUUUGGGUAGGGGAGAAUGUCACGGGCCAGCUUCCUAGUCCCUCCCCAAGUGCGAUAAUGGAGUUCCUAUGACUGUAUACUGAUUGCCUUCAUUGUACGUGGACUAAUAUGAGCUGCUCUAUCACAGGUACGUACUUUGGGUGUUGUACUUCUUAUCGGUCGGUUAUCGGUGUUAGCCAAUUAAUCCUGGGGAGGGCUGGUCCAGCGAGCCUCGGUGCUCGUAUCUCUGGACGCCCGCAUGGGCAUCAAACAGUGAGCCCGUGACACUAGCAUGUCGGGAAAUGUUUAAAUCAAAGUCGAGGAACCCAUUCCAACCAGGAAAAGCCGAGAUACCUCUCGGGUUAACCUCUUGAUGAGGUAACCGAGAGCAUUCUUGACCUUUUCGGGUCAAGAUCGAAUUCAUUUGCCCCGAUUUAAAUUGUUUCCCAAGUUUUAUGCUUUUACCGCAUCCAUGGAGCCGGUAUUGUUCUAUCGAUUCCAUAAAUAACUUGUUUGUGCUUGCUUGUAUACUUGAAUGUGUUUUCCAACUCAUUGCGAUA
Molecule: non-coding RNA, 2322 nt
Organism: Punica granatum (pomegranate)
Lineage: Eukaryota; Viridiplantae; Streptophyta; Magnoliopsida; Myrtales; Lythraceae
Source: RefSeq, a predicted model, not a curated record